AGUUUUUUUUUUUUUUUUUUUUUUUAGGAAAAAACCUAGUGAAUAUUUUGUUGUUUCUCUUCACUUUAGGGAAAACCUCAGCCAUAAUAAUUGCAUUUUUUUUUUCCUUUAUAAAAACCUGCUUAGGAAAGUCUUUUAUACAGAUAGGCUUUCUGGGAGAUUGAAAAUAGCUAUGAUGCAUGGUUUUUUUUUUCUGUUAUAUCCUGGAAGCCUGUGUUUAAAGUGGACUUUACAAAUACAUGUUCCUAAGGUGCAUAAGCAGGACAACAAAAAUCCAGCCGAAACAGUAUGGAGCUGUGUUCUUGCCAUAUGAACUGGUACCUGACAGUUGCCAAACCUAGGCACCAUCUUCCUAUUGCUUGCUAUAAGAAUUCCAGUUUGGGCCAAGUAAAGGUCAGCUAGGUAUUUUAAAUGUAUGAGUCUUGAAAAUGUCUUCUCUGCUGCCAGUGGGUGUGAAGAGGGAAGGCAGGAACAUGCUUGUUCAAAGGCUGGUGAAUAGCGUUAGUGGACUGCAUAGACGUGAUAGAAAUGUAGUGCAGUUAGCAUCCUCAGCGGUGUAGCCUGGGUGGCCUUCUGCCUUUCCAGAUUUGUUCCUUUAAAGAAAAAUCUGUUUUCCCUCCCUUUAGUUGAGUCUAUAUGUAAUUGUUAUAAUGGGGGGAGGGGUCAGAAACCGUCUUCUUGAAACUCAAAAACAGUUUUAGUAAGUGGAUUAACAGUAAUGGGGUAUUUGAGAUGUUCUGAAUGCCAAAAUUCUUGAAAGAUUUGCCAGAUUAGUAAUUACUUAAUGACUUAAUGUAUGUUAGAAUGUAGGUUACCAAGAAGCAGGAUGACCAAGAAUAGCUCUAUUACUCAUGAGAACACUUGGAGACAUGAAGGUAGAUCUGCUGCAGCAGGAGAGCUGUGGUUGAGCUGCAGAGUCCUGUGGAGCAGCACGAGCCACCACCAGAGCUCAGGAUAGAGGAAGGCCCAGCAGCACUGGCCUCUCACCUUAACUCGCCUCUGCCAAGGUGUUGCGAAAGCUCUGCUGCAUAGCCAGUGCCUUGAGUACAGCUCUGACCUCUCUAAAAGACCUCUCUGGACACAGUCGUGAGAAUCACAGGAAUCCACCUGUCCCUUUCUGCAAGGAGGCGCUGCUGGAGGUACCUGUGUUGUUAGUCACAGUCACACCUGGAGCUGCAAGACCAUUAUUUUCAUGUGCCAGGUGCAGUGUGAGUGAUUACACACAAUGCCUUCCAGCAAGGUCAGCAUUAUAAGACCCAUUUUACUGAAAAGGAAGCUGAGACUCAGAAAGGGUGAAGUGGCUUAUUCAAAACCUUACUGAAAUAAAUAAAUAAAUGGCAGAGCUACGAUCUGAAUCCGGAUCUUAA
Non-coding RNA from Marmota flaviventris (yellow-bellied marmot), 1367 nucleotides. Lineage: Eukaryota; Metazoa; Chordata; Mammalia; Rodentia; Sciuridae. The record is from RefSeq and is a predicted model, not a curated record.